This is a non-coding RNA of Sorex fumeus (smoky shrew), 435 nucleotides long. The record is from the annotation of a RefSeq genome assembly. Lineage: Eukaryota; Metazoa; Chordata; Mammalia; Eulipotyphla; Soricidae.
AUGACCUGGGCUCUUCUCAUCCUCGGACGCCUCAGUCAAAGCCCAGGAACCUGGGCCCAGAAUGUCCUAAGUCAGCCUCCCUCAGUGUCUGGGACUCAGGGACAGACAGUCACCAUCUCCUGUACAGGAACCAGCAAUGACAUUGGGAGAUAUAAGUAUGUCGCCUGGUACCAGCAGCAGGAGGGCACAGCCCCCAAAAUGCUGAUUUAUAAUGUCAAUAAGCGGCCAUCAGGGAUCCCUGAUCACUUCUCUGGCUCCAAGUUAGGAAAUGCAGCGACUCUGACCAUCUCUGGGCUUAAGCCUGAGGAUGAGACUGAUUAUUACUGUUCAUCCAGAACCAGCCUGAAUUCACCAGUGUUUUGUUUCUCUUUCUUCAGGAACCUGGGCCCAGAAUGUUCUCAAUCAGCCUCUCUCAGUGUCUGGGACUCAGGGUAA